RNAcentral lists this transfer RNA (72 nucleotides) under Biomphalaria glabrata. It matches the Rfam family "tRNA". Rfam says of the family: Transfer RNA (tRNA) molecules are approximately 80 nucleotides in length. Their secondary structure includes four short double-helical elements and three loops (D, anti-codon, and T loops). The record is from Rfam by way of RNAcentral. Lineage: Eukaryota; Metazoa; Mollusca; Gastropoda; Planorbidae.
GGCGCGGUAGCUGAGUGGUAAAGCGUUUGGCUUCCGAACCGGGGGUCCCGGGUUCGAAUCCUGGUGAAGUCU